AAGCAAUAUCUGGUGUUCAGGUAAGUAGCUAUUUUAACUGUGCUUUCAUGUAUUUCCUAAAAUUGCACACUGUAUUGCUUAAAGUUGCAAUUCUUUUCUUCUGUGGAGCAUGUUGCACUUAUAAUAUUGUACUUCAUGGGGAGUAUCUAGCGUCUAAGUUGUUUUUUGGAGCCUAUUAUGAAGUUUCUUAGAUUAGUCAGCUACAGUAGUGAUUUAGUAGACUCCUUGUUAAUUUUUAUAGAUUGGGGAUGGCAAGAUUCAUUGGAACCUUCUCUUUUCCUGGAGAUUGGACGUAUAUCAACAAUCCAAGUGAUCAAUUUCUUUCUAUUCUUUACUUGGAUCUUUCAAAUCAUUGUCAUCUAUUUCGAAGGGCAAUGUAAUACUACUGAGACUUGAAAUGUGAAUGUGAUAUGCCAAGAAUACUAGUUCAUGAUUCCAACUUACUGCAUUUGGCGUCGUUAGAAAUUGAUUCUGUACCUAAUAAAGGCAUCUCCUACCUCACUGUAGCAAGAAAUCCUUUAGGAAAAACAUGUCAAUUUCUAGCUAAUGAUGAAGAAAGUUCUGUUUCUUUAUUAUAAAUCUAUGGAGCUUUUGUUAUCUUUGCACAAGAUUUGGUCAAUACAAUUACCUGGUUGUGAAAUUAUUUCCUAGAGAUUAUCUUAAAAUAAGAAUUGAGCAUUAACUGAGGCUGAGGUAGUCUGUACCAUUUUAUUUGCUAUUAACUAUCACAUGUUUUAUUAAAAUCCAUUUGCAGACUGUUCGUUUUAAA
RNAcentral lists this unclassified non-coding RNA (769 nucleotides) under Hevea brasiliensis (rubber tree). The record is from RNAcentral. Lineage: Eukaryota; Viridiplantae; Streptophyta; Magnoliopsida; Malpighiales; Euphorbiaceae.